Molecule: ribosomal RNA, 253 nt
Filed under: uncultured bacterium
Lineage: Bacteria
Description: partial 16S ribosomal RNA
Rfam family: Bacterial small subunit ribosomal RNA
Source: RNAcentral
UACGUAGGCAGCGAGCGUUGUUCGGAGUUACUGGGCGUAAAGGGUGUGUAGGCGGUUCUCUAAGUUUGGUGUGAAAUCUCCCGGCUCAACCGGGAGGGUGCGCCGAAAACUGGAGGGCUAGAGUGCGGGAAGGGAGAGUAGAAUUCCUGGUGUAGCGGUGAAAUGCGUAGAUAUCAAGUGGAACACCAGUGGCGAAGGCGAGUCUCUGGACAUUUCCUGACGCUGAGGCACGAAAGCCAGGGGAGCAAACGGG